RNAcentral lists this long non-coding RNA (1046 nucleotides) under Ornithorhynchus anatinus (platypus). RNAcentral describes it as "lncRNA (ENSOANG00000042228.1)". The record is from RNAcentral. Lineage: Eukaryota; Metazoa; Chordata; Mammalia; Monotremata; Ornithorhynchidae.
GCCGGGCCGGGGGCGGGCGGAGCGCGGAGGCGGCGAGGGAAGCAGGGGAGAGGGUGGGAGAGCGAGGGGCGGCUGCGGGCCGGGAGCCCUGAGCCGGACUGAGGCUGGGGGGCUGGAGCUGGGGGCCGGGAGCUGGGAGCCGAGGCUGGGGACCGGGAGCUGGGGGCCGGGAGUUGGGGCUGGGGGCUGAGGCUGGGAGCUGGGGCUGGGGGCUGAGGCUGGCGGCUGGGAGUUGGGGCUGGGGGCUGAGGCUGGGGGCUGGGAGUUGGGGCUGGGGGCUGAGGCUGGGGGCUGGGAGCUGGGGGCUGGGGGGGCUGAGGCUGGGGGCUGGGAGCUGGGGGCUGGAGGCUGAGGCUGGGCGGGGGCAGGGGCAGGGGCUGUUGCUGACGGUCCGGGGAGGGGUCUGGGGCUCCCCGUGUCUCCCGCAGCCUCCGGGCAAGCGCCGGAGGGCGAAAGCAGCGUGUGGUCGGAGGCGGAGCGGUGCGGGCCGGUGUGCGGGGGGCCGGGGCGCGGGGGCCCGGCGCUCGGCUCCUCCGGCUUCGCCCCCUGGCCGGACCCCUGAGCCCGCACCCCGCACCCCGCACCCCGCACCCCGCACCCCGCACGGAACUCCAGCCGUCCGCUGGGCGGCUCUUUGGCCGGGUCCGGCCGCAGGCUGGCGGGGACAGCGGCCGGCGGACAGCGGCCAGAAGGCGGCCGGUCCCGGGACGAUACCUGCCUGGACCUGAAUGUGAUGUGUUCUAAGGGACAUCUGUGAAUGUACCCACACCCACAGCGCCUCAUCCUCGUGUUAGCCGCCAACACUACCAAAAACCAUCUGCGACAGAGCCGAUUGUUUGCAUAUCAACCCUUCUUCACGGAAGCUGGGUGAUCGAUCCUUGAAAAACCAGAAAAACUGAAAGGUAACCUUCAUCCUAGCCCUAAAUAAUAAUAAUUAAUAAUUGUGGUAUUAGUUAAGAGCUUACUAUGUGCCAGGCAUUGUAAUAAGCACUGGGGUGGAUAAAAGCAGUUUGGGUUGGACACAGUCCUUGUCCCAGGUGGGGUUC